UACGAAGGGGGCUAGCGUUGUUCGGAAUUACUGGGCGUAAAGCGCACGUAGGCGGAUAUUUAAGUCAGGGGUGAAAUCCCGCAGCUCAACUGCGGAACUGCCUUUGAUACUGGGUAUCUCGAGUAUGGAAGAGGUGAGUGGAAUUCCGAGUGGAGAGGUGACAUUCGUAGCUCUUCGGAGGAACACCAGUGGCGAAGGCGGCUCAAUGUUCCAUUACUGACUCUGAGGUGCGAAAUCGUGGGGAGCCAACAGGAUUAGAUACCCCGGUAGUCC
Molecule: ribosomal RNA, 273 nt
Filed under: uncultured bacterium
Lineage: Bacteria
Description: partial 16S ribosomal RNA
Rfam family: Bacterial small subunit ribosomal RNA
Source: RNAcentral